RNAcentral lists this ribosomal RNA (394 nucleotides) under uncultured bacterium. Its description in RNAcentral is "bacterial SSU rRNA". It matches the Rfam family "Bacterial small subunit ribosomal RNA", at positions 505 to 898 of the family's 1533-position model. The record is from RNAcentral.
GUGUCAGCAGCCGCGGUAAGACGAACCGUGCGAACGUUGUUCGGAAUCACUGGGCUUAAAGGGCGCGUAGGCGGAGGGAUCAGUCAGAGGUGAAAUCCUGCGGCUCAACCGUAGAAGUGCCUUUGAUACGGUCCGUCUCGAGGGAGGUAGGGGCGUGCGGAACUUCCGGUGGAGCGGUGAAAUGCGUAGAUAUCGGAAGGAACACCGGUGGCGAAAGCGGUGCGCUGGACCUCUUCUGACGCUGAGGCGCGAAAGCCAGGGGAGCGAACGGGAUUAGAUACCCCGGUAGUCCUGGCCCUAAACGAUGGGUACUAGGUAGUGGACUUGACAUGGGUUCACUGCCGAAGCAAAAGUGUUAAGUACCCCGCCUGGGGAGUAUGGUCGCAAGGCUGAA